AGAAACUUAGGUUAACUUUAAACCGAAGGCCUUCAAAGCCUUAAAUAGGGGACCGACCCCUAGCUUCUG
Molecule: transfer RNA, 69 nt
Filed under: Lacerta bilineata
Lineage: Eukaryota; Metazoa; Chordata; Lepidosauria; Squamata; Lacertidae
Description: tRNA-Trp
Rfam family: tRNA
About the family: Transfer RNA (tRNA) molecules are approximately 80 nucleotides in length. Their secondary structure includes four short double-helical elements and three loops (D, anti-codon, and T loops).
Source: RNAcentral